This 27-nucleotide non-coding RNA is filed under the name Mus musculus (house mouse). Lineage: Eukaryota; Metazoa; Chordata; Mammalia; Rodentia; Muridae. The record is from RNAcentral.
UGCACAGGCUCAUUUUACGUGGUGCUA